This is a non-coding RNA of Pelobates cultripes (western spadefoot toad), 295 nucleotides long. NCBI's taxonomy places the organism in Eukaryota, Metazoa, Chordata, Amphibia, Anura, Pelobatidae. The record is from the annotation of a GenBank genome assembly.
GUGUAUUGUACGGAUUGAUUGGUUGUUUUGUAACGCCCUGUGGGCUGUACUAUGUUUGUGGAUUGGGAAUAAAAGAGACUGUAUGUGACAGUACAGGGAAUUCCUGUUUUAACCCUCAAAGUGAAGUGUUGUCUCAUUAUUGGGGAAAGGAUUUAUUGUAUGCUGUUCCAGUUUGACUGCUAGGAGAGUAAACCUAUUCGUAUGGUUCCUAUUCAACUGUCUACAGCAUUCAUAUGCUUGGGAGAAUUUAUUUGUUUCUCCGGUUCGGUGAUUGUGGUGUCUGCCAGAGUGCUUG